UCGAAGAUGGGCAAGCCUUCGUCCCUAUUGCUAGUCCGGACCUUCGCGCCCUACGACUAAGUAUGCAAAGGGAAUGACAAAGAGAAAGAGGCAGAAGUUCUCUCAAAAACUAAGUACUAUACUACUUAGAAAUGAGAAUUACAACCCACACAUACACACACUCUCUCUUGUGUGUUUUGGCCUUAACCAAACCCCACUACUUAUAGGCUCCUAGAUACAAUGAACCUAGACACACACUAACUCUCUCAUUAUGAGACACAUUAACUCACCCACUAGCCACAUAG
This 284-nucleotide long non-coding RNA is filed under the name Ananas comosus (pineapple). Its description in RNAcentral is "long non-coding RNA (ACOM_LNC000895)". The record is from RNAcentral. Lineage: Eukaryota; Viridiplantae; Streptophyta; Magnoliopsida; Poales; Bromeliaceae.